Molecule: long non-coding RNA, 1152 nt
Organism: Leucoraja erinaceus (little skate)
Lineage: Eukaryota; Metazoa; Chordata; Chondrichthyes; Rajiformes; Rajidae
Exons: 3
Source: RefSeq, a predicted model, not a curated record
AGGAAUGAGUGACGUUUCCGGUCGAGUGUCUGAAGAAGGGUCUCGGCCCGAAACGUCACCCAUUGCUUCCCUCCAGAGAUAUCGCCUGUCCCGCUGAGUUACUCCAGCAUUUUGUGUCUAUCUUCGGUGUAAACCAGCAUCUGCAGUUCCUUCUGACAAACCUCAGGACUCAAAGUUCUCACACAUUUUAAGAGUCACCAACUAGCACUUGGCUGCUUCCCGCACAUGCCCCAUUAUUGCAUCCCGUCACAACGCUUCCCAGAGAUAUAGACACAAAAAGCUGGGAGUAACACAGCGGGACAGGCAGCAUCUCUGGAGAGAAGUAAUGGGUGAAGUUUCGGGUUCGAGACCCUUCUUCAGACCCGAAACAUCACCCAUUCCUUCUCUCAAGAGAUGCUGCCUGUCCCGCUGAGUUACUCCAGCAUUUUGUGCCAUCUUCUGUUUGAACCAGCAUCUGCAGUUCCUUCUUGCACAACCUUUCCCAGCACCUGUUUAAAUCCCUGCAACUCAUGGACCUGAGACGCGUGGACGCGCAGCGGUGCUCGUGCUCGUGCCCGCGCGGGGGGCAGGUGCGCGCCGGGCAGGAGGGCGUCGGCGGCGCGCACGGCUGAGUGGCAGGUACAUACGGGUUCCGCUGGGAGCCCAGAGACGGAGAUUAGUUUUAAACAUGGCUUUAGCUUGCAAAGAGAAGGAGGUGGUUUAAAAAAAAAACUCCGCACAUUUACCCUCUUUGCAAACAUGCAUCAACUGCUAAACACACGGAAUCUUUCGAUCGUUCCACUUAGUUACACUACGUGCAAAGAAUAAAAAUGCAUGAAGCCGCCCCCAAGAAUGCAAGGUAUGAGGUUCAGCAUUUACAAAAGUGAAGACAGACCCAUUUGCUUCAAACAUCAUGGAGGGGCGAAAGACGCCAGACGAUUCGAAAUCAUUUCCAAUAUCACACCAAUGAAAGAGGAAAGUCUAUCCUGGACUGGAUCUCACAGGGAGCCAAUGAAGAGAGGGAGAAAAAUACUGAGAGGUACAGACAUACCUGAAGAAGGCAGGCCUUCAGUCAUCAAAAGUGACUUCAACAGUUCAACCACUCAAUAUUAUCCUUGUGGAUGUUCGCUACAGUGGUUUGAUGCUGAAAUAAUGAUCAGAUGGGAGCACAUA